UUGUCGAUGCCUAAACCAAUCCAACCACCGAAUGCGUCAAAACACCCGAAGCGCCGGGAGAGGAGGGGUCUGAAUGGAUCUCGCCUCUUCAGGCACGACCCAAACCCCGGCACUUGACGUGCCAAGGAUGCAAAACAUAUUCUUGGUCGAGUCCGAAGGACAGUGUCCAACGGAAUCGUCACGAAACGAAUUAAAAUGACUCUCGGCAACGGAUAUCUCGGCUCUUGCAUCGAUGAAGAACGUAGCGAAAUGCGAUACUUGGUGUGAAUUGCAGAAUCCCGUGAACCAUCGAGUCUUUGAACGCAAGUUGCGCCCAAAGCCAUUAGGCCGAGGGCACGCCUGCCUGGGUGUCACACAUCGUCACCCCCAUGCAAAUGCGCAUUGGGGUGAAAGUUGGCCUCCCGCGAAACAUUUGUUGUGGUUGGUCGAAAACCAAGGUAAUGUCGGGGUCCCCCUGCGAGAAACGGUGGAUGAGCAACGCUCGAGACCAACGGCGGUGGCGGACACUCGGUACACCAAUUGGUGGGCCCUAUUGUGUUUUUGGAAAAAAUCAAAGACGCUCAUAAAGAGACCUCAGGUCAGGCGGGGCUACCCGCUGAGUUUAAGCAUAUCAAUAA
Molecule: unclassified non-coding RNA, 617 nt
Filed under: Vigna trilobata
Lineage: Eukaryota; Viridiplantae; Streptophyta; Magnoliopsida; Fabales; Fabaceae
Description: sequence contains ITS1, 5.8S rRNA gene and ITS2
Rfam family: 5.8S ribosomal RNA (bases 198-353)
Source: RNAcentral